UCGGAUAGAUUGGCAACGGUAAUCUGUGACUGUACCCUUCUCUCUCUCUCUCUCUCUCUCUCUCUCUCAAUGGCUGUGGCUACCCUUGCUCUUCACAGUCAAUUGCUCAGCUUCUCAAACUCAAAAACAAGACCAAGACAAAAACUAUGGCUUCCACACAAACCAAACCUUUUGAAUUCUCAAACAAGAACCCAUUUUUAUUCCAUUUCAUGCUCUUCUUCUUCUACUUCAGAGUCCCCAGAAGCCAAUGUAGAGACUGCUGAGUUCUAUGUCAACUCGGGUCUCCAGCUCUUCUCCAAAGGACGGGUAAAAGAUGCUCUCGUCCAGUUUGAAACAGCACUUAAUUUGGAUCCUAACCCACUGGAGGCCCAAGCUGCACUUUAUAACAAAGCUUGCUGUCAUGCCUACCGAGGGGAAGGAAAAAAAGCUGCUGAUUGUCUACGAACUGCAUUGAGAGAGUAUAACCUCAAAUUUGGUACAAUUCUGAAUGAUCCUGACUUGGCCUCCUUCAGAGCUUUGCCUGAAUUCAAGGAAUUGCAAGAAGAGGCUAGGCUGGGUGGGGAAGAUAUAGGCUACGGUUUUCGAAGAGAUCUCAAACUCAUUAGUGAAGUCCAAGCACCAUUCCGGGGGGUUAGGAGAUUCUUUUAUGUGGCAUUUUCUGCAGCCGCCGGAAUAUCAUUGUUCUUUACUAUUCCCAGGAUAUUUCGUGCAAUUAAAGGUGGUGAUGAUGCCCCUGAUUUAUGGGAAACUGCUGGAAAUGCUGCCAUUAAUAUCGGAGGUAUCAUUGUUCUUGUGGCAUUGUUUCUCUGGGACAACAAGAAAGAGGAGGAACAACUUGCACAGAUAUCCCGAGAUGAAACUCUAUCAAGGUUGCCUUUGCGCCUUUCCACUAAUCGAGUUGUUGAACUCGUGCAGCUGCGAGACACUGUUAGGCCAGUUAUUUUAGCAGGGGAAAAAGAGGCUGUUUCUUUGGCUAUCCAGACGGCAGAGAGGUUCCGGACUGAUCUCCUUAGACGAGGUGUUCUUUUAGUCCCUGUAAUCUGGGGUCAAGGUACGGCACCACAAGUUGAGAAGAAAGGUUUUGGUGUCCCUCGAAAGGCAGCCGAUGCUCUUCCUUCUAUUGGGGAAGAUUUCGAGAAACGGGCUCAGUCUAUAACUACAAGAUCAAAGUUGAAAGCUGAAAUUCGAUUUAAGGCUGAGGUUGUAUCGCCUGCAGAAUGGGAAAGUCUAGGUGGAUAAGGGAUCAGCAGAAGUCUGAAGGAGUUACUCCUGGUGAGGACGUCUACAUUAUACUGCGCCUAGAUGGUCGGGUCCGAAGAUCAGGGAAGGGCAUGCCUGACUGGCAACAAAUAUUGCAGGAGCUGCCACCAUUGGAGGCAAUACUAAGCAAGCUAGAAAGAUAGGAAGAGUUUCUUGCAUCAUCUGAGUCUUACAUAACAGAAUUUUGAGCCAAGACACAUGCUAUUUUUUACUCUAUAAUUGUUAUGAUAAUUUCCAUCCCAUCCUUGAUGAUACCACAUGAGACCAUUUCUAUUGUAUAAUUUUCUACACCCAGGAACCUAUAGUUGGUCCUUUGACACUGCUCAAAAAUCUUUUACAUUCUUUCAUUUGUCCUAAACAUUAAUGUAUUAUAACUUUUCAUAGCAAUUUUUGAAAAAGGAGAAGUAGAUAUUGGUAUUUGGAAGUGA
This is an RNA transcript of Quercus robur (English oak), 1688 nucleotides long. It is a transcript of the gene named protein LOW PSII ACCUMULATION 1, chloroplastic, with no coding region annotated. The record is from RefSeq and is a predicted model, not a curated record. The transcript is spliced from 9 exons. NCBI's taxonomy places the organism in Eukaryota, Viridiplantae, Streptophyta, Magnoliopsida, Fagales, Fagaceae.